GCUCAGAACGAACGCUGGCGGCAGGCUUAACACAUGCAAGUCGAACGCCCCGCAAGGGGAGUGGCAGACGGGUGAGUAACGCGUGGGAACAUACCCUUUCCUGCGGAAUAGCUCCGGGAAACUGGAAUUAAUACCGCAUACGCCCUACGGGGGAAAGAUUUAUCGGGGAAGGAUUGGCCCGCGUUGGAUUAGCUAGUUGGUGGGGUAAAGGCCUACCAAGGCGACGAUCCAUAGCUGGUCUGAGAGGAUGAUCAGCCACAUUGGGACUGAGACACGGCCCAAACUCCUACGGGAGGCAGCAGUGGGGAAUAUUGGACAAUGGGCGCAAGCCUGAUCCAGCCAUGCCGCGUGAGUGAUGAAGGCCUUAGGGUUGUAAAGCUCUUUCACCGGAGAAGAUAAUGACGGU
RNAcentral lists this ribosomal RNA (406 nucleotides) under Agrobacterium sp. RNAcentral describes it as "bacterial SSU rRNA". It matches the Rfam family "Bacterial small subunit ribosomal RNA", at positions 22 to 458 of the family's 1533-position model. Lineage: Bacteria; Pseudomonadati; Pseudomonadota; Alphaproteobacteria; Hyphomicrobiales; Rhizobiaceae. The record is from RNAcentral.